RNAcentral lists this transfer RNA (73 nucleotides) under Desmophyllum pertusum. RNAcentral describes it as "Lophelia pertusa tRNA". It matches the Rfam family "tRNA". From Rfam's summary of the family: Transfer RNA (tRNA) molecules are approximately 80 nucleotides in length. Lineage: Eukaryota; Metazoa; Cnidaria; Anthozoa; Scleractinia; Caryophylliidae. The record is from Rfam by way of RNAcentral.
GUUUCCGUAGUGUAGUGGUUAUCACGUCCGCCUCACACGCGGAAGGUCGCAGGUUCGGUCCCUGCCGGAAACA